UUUGAUCGAGCCCACCCACAAGGGUUGGCCCGCAGGGCGAUCCUGACCGUAGGUCGCCAACAGCGCACGAGCCUC
Molecule: antisense RNA, 75 nt
Filed under: Mycobacterium basiliense
Lineage: Bacteria; Bacillati; Actinomycetota; Actinomycetes; Mycobacteriales; Mycobacteriaceae
Description: ASpks
Rfam family: ASpks TB sRNA
Source: RNAcentral